UACAGAGGGUGCGAGCGUUGUUCGGAAUUAUUGGGCGUAAAGCGUCCGUAGGUGGCUAGUCAAGUCUGCGGUCAAAGACUGGGGCUUAACCCUGGAAAGGCCGUGGAAACUGACGAGCUAGAGUGCAGUAGGGGUAGAGGGAAUUCCCGGUGUAGCGGUGAAAUGCGUAGAGCUCGGGAAGAACAUCGGUGGCGAAAGCGCUCUACUGGACUGCAACUGACACUCAGGGACGAAAGCUAGGGGAGCGAAUGGG
RNAcentral lists this ribosomal RNA (253 nucleotides) under uncultured bacterium. RNAcentral describes it as "partial 16S ribosomal RNA". It matches the Rfam family "Bacterial small subunit ribosomal RNA", at positions 524 to 776 of the family's 1533-position model. The record is from RNAcentral.